GUAGGUGGCAAGCGUUGUCCGGAAUUAUUGGGCGUAAAGCGCGCGCAGGUGGGUUCUUUAAGUCUGAUGUGAAAGCCCCCGGGCUCAACCGGGGAGGGUCAUUGGAAACUGGGGAACUUGAGUGCAGGAGAGGAAAGUGGAAUUCCACGUGUAGCGGUGAAAUGCGUAGAUAUGUGGAGGAACACCAGUGGCGAAGGCGACUUUCUGGCCUGUAACUGACACUGAGGCGCGAAAGCGUGGGGGGCAAACAGGAUUAGAUACCCUGGUAGUCCACGCCGUAAACGAUGAGUGCUAAGUGUUGGGGGGUUUCCGCCCCUCAGUGCUGCAGCUAACGCAUUAAGCACUCCGCCUGGGGAGUACGGUCGCAAAGACUG
RNAcentral lists this ribosomal RNA (374 nucleotides) under uncultured organism. RNAcentral's name for it is "partial 16S ribosomal RNA". It matches the Rfam family "Bacterial small subunit ribosomal RNA", at positions 527 to 896 of the family's 1533-position model. The record is from RNAcentral.